UCCUUUAGUUGAUCACCACGGUGUCCUUUUUCCAUUUGCACACUUCCUAGCAAUAAACCAAACCUAAUAAUCUUAGUGUUUAUCAUUCCCAUUUUACUCAAUUAUUUGCAAGUUUACAUGUAUCAUCAUCUAUCCAACUUUCAAUGCUAUAUUUCUCAAUCCACCAUUCACAUUAUUCAUUUUUCAUUGCUUUCAAACAAUAACAUAACAAGCAACUUAACAUGUCCAUCUAGCUCAUGCAUUUUAGAUCUUUUUAACAACCAUUAAUCAUGCGUACGGCAGCAACUAUAAACCUACGUCCACCGAGCAAUUUCUAAGCUUAUGUGAAACACUAUUCAUAUUUACAUACUGCCACUAAGCACAACAUAAAUUUUCAUUCAUGCACACUACAUUUUUAACCCUUGAAGCCUUUCACAACACAUGUCCACACAUUUAUGUUUCAAGCUUUUCAAUUAACAUAAUUAUUUUCUAACCGUACCUAAGGCAUCACAUAAACACUACACAUUGUUUACCUUACCUUUGUGGUGGAUUUGCUCUUGCAUGCAACCUCAAUGUUCUUCCAAUACUCCUCACACCAAGCUGCCAUCAUUUUACACAAUCAUUUCCUCAUAAUAUAUAACCAACCAUAGGCCUCAAAUUAUGGUAUUAUGCUUCCCAUUUCUUUUCCACUUUGAAUCCAUCAUGCACCCAUGAUUUUGAUAGCUUUGCAUGUCUCUAAAUCCUCUCCAUUCAAGCCAAUCUUUGCUGCCACAAGACAUUUCAUAUAGUUACCAACCCAUUUUCAAGAAAUGUUCAAGCUAAAACCAAAGUUCUUACCUUAUUUUGUUUAAAUCACAAAAUUGAGCUUUACACUUCUUUCCACCUUCCACGACUUCUCUCUUGAGUAUUGGAGACUCCUUGGGUGAUGAAAUAGCACAAAUCUUCAAGAUGAGGGAGGAAACCUCUCGGUUCCUCAUGGUUUUAUGCAAAAUUGAGCCUUGCCUUCUUUUCUCUCUUUUUCUUCCUUUCUUUCUUUCCUUUCCUUUCUUUUUUCUUCUUUCUAUCCUUUCCUUUCUCUUUUCUUCUUGGUUAUGGGUGGACUCCUCAAGCCCAAGCCUUGAAAAUGGUUUCCAUUUUGUUUAUUUUUGCCCACACAUGGGCGAAUUGCCCAAAGCCACCCUUUUCUAUUAUUUUUCUUUUCUUUUCUCUUUAUUCUCCUUGCAUGGACAGAUUGCCCAAGGUUUAAUGACUCUUUGACAUCUUUUCCUCUUAUUUUAUGUGAUAAAAUCACAUGGCAAAAGGCUUGCAACCUUUCCACCUGCCACUUGCAUUUUCAUUCUUUACUUUUCAUCUUUUUUAUUCUAUGCACUACAUUUACUUUAAGCUUUAUUUAAUCACUCAUUGUCCCAUCCAAAUCACAUGCAACCCACUUUCUUCUUUCUUCAUUUGACCACCAUUGCACCAAUCACAUUUCAUGCUAACAAAUUUUAAUCUUAUUUUUUCUUUUACUUCACAUGGUAGGGGUCCCAUAUGUGCCCCACUAACUUUUCCUUUUUACACCAUUGUUUGCAUGUAAUAGUAACUUCCACAUGUACAUCUCAUAUUCCUCAUAAUCUAGCAUUCCUUGGUUAGGAAAUUCCCUUUUUUAACUUCAAAUAUUAAAAUUACAAUGAGUCCUCAAACUUUUCCUUAUUUACCAUGCGACCCCUCCAACUUUCAUCCUUUACAAUUGGGUCCUUCCAACAUUUCUUAACUCCAAUUUCCUUUUAUUUUCCUUCCUUUACAUGUGUACAAACAAAAUAUAAAAUCUGCACUUCAUCACGGUAUCACCUUAAUAUUUAAAUAUAUACUUACCCACGCUAGCUUUAUUUGAUAAAGACACGCGAGUCCCACUAACGUCAUUUUUCCUUUAAAACCCUUUCCUUCUUUUUCUCCCCCACUUUGAUUAGUCAUAUAAUCCUCCUUCCUGAUUAAUUUCAGCAAUAGAUAAAAUAUUAAUAUUUUAUAAUUAUUUUAUUAAUAAAAUAUUAUUUUAUUUUAAAUUUUCUUUUCACCUAUUACCACUCUUUGGCACUUAAAUUUACGUCAAUUGACCCUUCGUAUUGUCGAUAAGGUCAUAUUGAUUUCUAUACGAGGGUACAGGGUGUUACAUAAAUCAUUAUAGAAUGUUUGUACUUGAAGUCACUUUGGUAGACUAUGAUAAGGGCAACGUCGAAGCAAAUCCCUAUAUAUAUCCUAGGCCUCAUACAACAAUUCAGAGUCAAGUUGCUUGAACGAAGUAAUAUCAUUCCUCAUCUUAGUUGUCUUAGUCGGAAGAAAGAAUUUAGCUAAGAACUUCUGAGCAAGAUCAUCCCAAGUUGUAAUAGAGCUCAUGGGAAGUGAGUUUAACCAAACCUUUACCUUGUCUUGCAAUGAAAAAACCAAAAGUUACAAUCUGAUAGCACCAUUGGUAACUCCAUUAUGCUUAAAGGUGUCACAAAUCUCACGAAAAUUUGAGAUAUGAACAUUAUGAUCAUCAUUAUGCUCAAAGUUAUUAGCUUCAAUAACUGACCAUCGAAUGCUCGAAUGAAGACCUUGCACCAACGAGAUAGCAUAAUCUCUUAAAGAUCGAAUAUCUUCCACUAAUUUCCCUUGAAUUUUCUACUCUCCUUGUUGUUCAACCAUCGUUUCUACAUGAGUUAAGGUUUGGAAAUUUCUCUCCAAAGACUUCAAAAAGUUUUCUCGAUUUUUGGAUCAAAGGUACAAUUUCCAAACUUCUUAUUCUUUGCAUACUAUGACCAAAAAUACUUGAAAUAAAGAAAAACCAAGGUUGAAGUAAGACUGGUUUGCUUGGUAUUAAUAUUAGCAAAAAGCAAGAAAACAAUCCCUGGCAGUUUUUGUAAUGAUCGUUCCUCAAUCGUUAUUGGUGUCCGAGACUUGCAGGAGAACCCGCCAAAUCCUGAACAAGCCUUAGUUGAAUCUUUAGUUAUUAUGCCAUCAAUUUGUGAAACUAUUUGAACCAUAUAUCUCUUUGUAAUAAGGAUUAAACAUAAUCAUAAUAAACCAUCUUAACCUUUAUUCACCAUACUCAUAAAGAUUACAUUAUAGUCUAUAAUUAUUCAAUUGUACACUUACAUUGACUCUACUUACAAAUACAUUAUACUAUGAAUGACUCGACCUCUAGUAGCGGAGCUGUCAUAGCCCAAUUUUUGGACCAUGAUCGGUGCAAGGGCCCAAUGGGCACAACCCACUAAGCCCAAGCAAGCUUAUUUAAGAAAUUCUAUUUCAUUAUUCCCACCAUUAUUUCUAGCCACAAUAUUUAUUCUCAACUAUACGUAUUUUGAUAAUAAAGAAGGCAACCAAAUAUUUAUAUAGGUACUAACCCAAAAUACUGUCAUUCAUUGCCAUCUCAUAAUGGCAUCAUCAUAUCACAUAUACAUCUAUUGUUUGUAGCCUAAAUCUUAGUGAUUUACAUCGAGUAUAAAUCCACAUGCAAAACUCUUGACGACUAGCGGAGUGACUUGGGUGAGGGCACAGCUACCAAAUGCCAUAUACCUACCAAUGGGUGAAUACGAGUGGUCUCCUUAAUCUCGGUUCCAACUAGCUAUGGAUCUGAAAACAUGCAAUUUAAAAGAGUUAGUAUAAACUCAGUGAGUGAAAAUAAGAAAGGAACAAGCAACGAUAAGGAAUGUUUUAGAAAACAUGUUGCACUUACGAUAAAACCAUGCAAUUUAGUCUAAUUUUUUGUUAAAACCCCUCAUUUCAAACUUUGAAUGUUUAAUCCCUUGAUGAUACAAGAUCCAUGAUAAAUCAUGAAGUUGAAUAGAAUGAAAAUUUCAGCAAUGACCAAGCAAGACAAGCAAAUAGAGGGUUUUUUCGCUGCAGCGAAAAGGCAUUUUUUGUUUGCAUAUGCUUCAAUUUUUCUAGCAUAUCUCCCAUUACAGAAGUCCAAUUGACAUAAUGUUUAGGUCAUUAGAAAGCUAAGAGGCUGGGAUACAACUUUGAUGUUUACUACUUUGCCCAGUUCUGAUUGGAAGGUGGUCAAAAUCUUUGUCCAAAUGAAAGUAUUGCACCAAAAUUUUAGAACCACCCGAGAGUUUCUCGCUGCAACGAGAACCAGGCCAAUGUAACCCCCCCCAACUUGAGAGUUUCUCGUUGCAAUGCAAAUGAAUCUCGUUGCAGCGAGAACCAAGCCAAUGUAACCCCCCUCAACCCGAGAGUUUCUCGCUGCAAUGCAAAUGAAUCUCGUUGCAGCUAGAAACAAAGCAAUUUAGUUAAAAAGGGUAUUGUUACAUCAAAAAGCCAUUUUCUUGCUGAAAUGAAAAGCAAUUUGGGAGCAAUUAACAAUGCCAACAUAUAACACAAUCACAAUUAUUUUCAUAAACUUUCUAUAACAUAUAUAUAUAUACAUACAUCAUCAUGCAUACCAUCCCACCACACUCAACUCAUGUGCACUCCCUACACGCACAAUGCAAUAUCAUCAUCAUCAUCAUCAGCUCAUGUGCACUCCCACACCGCACGUAGCUGGGUCCUUAUUUUCACACAAAAGGAGCAUCCAAAGCAUAAUAUACAUAUCAAUAUAAUGUGAAAAUUCAUGAACUAUUCAUAUUGCACAUUUCACAAGAUAGAAACAUUUCAUCAAUGGCUUGUUCCCCAAGUAUAUUUUUAAAGCAAAAAUGAAUGAAACUUUCAAAUGAUUUAUUUAAACAUGUAGGCACUUCCCAAAACAUUUUGAAAUGCAAGUUCACUCAACGGUAUUUGUUAAAUCUUUACCUAACUCAAACUUGCUCUAAUUGUCUAAAUGAGGCAGUGGGGCUUUGUUGGAACCUUGGUAGCUUUGUAAGUGAAUCCUUUCCAAGAAUUUUCAAGCUAUUAUGGAAGCUCUCUCUCUUUCUCUCUCUAAAAGACCUAACUAGUGAGAGAAAGUAUGGGAGUAAGACUUUUUAAGGGUUUUAAGGUGAGAAAGUGAAAGAGCAUGAAAAACACUAUAACAAGGUGUGUAAAAGCAUGAAAUUUAAGGUUAGUUUGAGAGGCUGAUGAAAGCUAAAGCUUUCAUGGAGGAUGAAAGAAAUGUGAGCUGGGAGGAAGAAGAAGAAGAAGCUGCUGAAAAAAUGAGGAAGCUGUUGGAGAUUAGAUAUUUAUAUCUAAAGUUUAUCCAAUUUCUCACAUAAAUUACCAAAAUGCCCUUAACAUUAUGGCUUUAUCUUCCUCCCAUCCUUUGUGCAACCUUUUUACUCUUUUGACAUUGAGACAAAGUCCAUAAUAGUCUAAAAAUACUCAAGUUCAUGAAAACGUAAAAAUUUAGACCCAAGAUGCAAAAUGACCAUUUUGACCCUACUAUGGAAAUUAUUAGUAUUUCUAUCUUCUUCAUUCAUUUUACCAUCAUUCAUCUAUUCCUUAGGCCUACUUAGACCUUAAUAACAUUAGAAAGCUACUUUCAUGAGCUCACCAUGAAAAAUGAUGAAAUUACCCUUAGUCCAUGUUAUCUCGUCAACUUCUACUUACAUGUCUACGAAGGUCAAGGUUUCAUAAUACGAGGGUACUAGGUUUCACAAGAGCGACUUGGAAUAAAGUGCUACGAGAUGCUUUUACCUAUUUACGAUAGACAACAUGUGCCGAUGAACACACACUAGGUCGAACACUAUCUGCAAAAGGGAAAUAAAGGGGUGACUCUCACAGACUCAGUAAUCAUCGGCUCCGUGAGUAGGAAGUAGAUGGGAAACAAGCUUAAGGCAGAUCAUUUGAAUGAUAAAUCCGAAAUAAAAGUAAUAAUCUUAGAAAAAUUAAAUCUCAAAUAGAGUGUUUUGCCUUGUAAAAAUGAUGCCGUAAAAUCAUCGUGCAAUAUUUCACUUGGCAAAACGAUGCUGAAAACAAGUGUAGCGAAACCAAGUUCAAUCAUAGCAAACAUCACUUACGAUCAAAAUACGAGAAACGGUAUAAAAAUAUGCACGUUCCCAAGUUGUGUGGCACGUAAAGAAAUCAAUUUAUAAAGCCACAUAAACCAGCUCAUGAUUGACAAGUAAGCACUGAAAGCUUUUAUUCAAAUAAAGGGAGCUACAUAGAAAAACCUUAACUCUCCACCAUGCAAAAGAGUACGCGUCGAAAAACUCACAAGGCUCUCGAGUAGGAAAGUAUAAUAUCAACACACGGACCCACUUCCACGUAAUAACAAUCCGGGAACACUGCUUCCACCGGAUUCCCACAUGUCAUGGCAGUCUCGAUGAUGUUGGCCGACAUCGGAGAAUCAAGUGGUCACAACCGUGAAUAUCACUUGUGGCCUAGCCAUAUAUAACAACCCGUGGCCUUGCCACGUAUAUCAUAGACCAUGGCCCCAGCCAUGUCUAUCAGCUUAUCAGUGACUCAAAGGUUCUCUAGCUAAAGCUCACUUGUGCACAAGAGUACACUUAACUAAAGUGACAUUUGACCUAAUCUCAACACUCUCGGUUUGUCAAAAUUGUUUUCAAAACCAAAUCAAGUUUUUCAAGACUUUUUCUUUUAAAUCUUUUGAAAUCAAGGUUUGAUAACCGGUCAAAUUGCAUUUCUCAUUAAUUGGAAUGGUGUAAACACGUGUACAAAGGUCGAAAUAAAACCGGUGCUCAAAACUUGUAUUUAAAUCAUUUUAACAAAUGCAUUUAGCUUUGCAGAUCACACAAAAAUACAAGGCACGAAUUUUGAUGAAAACAUCAUAAAAAGGCUUGUUUCUCUGUUUCUAAAACACUUUACAUAUAUAGAUUAUCUAUAGGCAUAUCCAAACCAACUUUCAAAACAACUUGCAUCCACAAAAUACCUAGGAUUCUACCAACUCAUGCUUUCCACAAAUUUUGCAUUUAAAAUAAAUCAUCACAUAUAUAUAUUAUGGAAAUUUGGAAAUCGACACCCCCUACUCACCUUACAAUAGCAGGACGACACUUUAUCGUUAUUGAUUCGAGUGUGUAUCUAGCUAUUUCUACUUGCCGGUCACCCGUUACCUCGUCCGGCAUGCCACCACGGUAAACUUUUCUAGCAAUAAAUUAAACUCAAUAUAUUUAAUGUAUAUCAUUUCCACUUCUCUUUCUCAUUCAAUCAUAAAUCCUCAUUCUAUUAACUUGCAUCUUAACACGUUUUUGCUAAGGUUAUUCAUAUCCUUUGUUUGUGUAAUUCUUUAGAUUAUAAGUACCAGCAACUUAUUCAUAACUUUAGCACACAAUUUAAUCUUUUCCAAUGAUAUUUAUCAAGUUUAGCUAUCAUUUUCACACCAAUAACCUCGCAUAUGGCAGCAAUUAUAAAUCUAAUUUCAUCAAGCAUUUUGCAAGUUUACAUGCACCAUAAUUCACAUUUACUUGCUGCCUCCAAGCAUAACAUCAAUAUUCAUUCAUAUGCACUAACAUUCAUAAUCUUUUAAACCUUUCACAACAACACAUAUCCACACAUUACAUUUUUUUCAAGUUUUCAACUAUCAUAAUUGCAUUUAAUCGUACCCAUGACAUCAAAAUAACACUACACAUUGCAUGCCUUACCUUUGUGGUGAAUUUGACCUUGCAUGCAACCUUAAUGCUCUUCCAAUAUUCCACUCACCAAGCUACCAACAAUUGCACAAUCAUUCCUUACGAUAUUCAUCUAACCGUAGGCUUCAAAACAUAGUGUUAAGCUUGCCGUUUUUCUUUCACCUUGAACCCAUUAUGCACCCACAAGUUUGGUGGCUUGCAUGUCACCAAUUUUUCUCUAAUCAAGCUGAUCUUUGCUGCCACUAGACAUUUCUCUUAGUCAUCAACUCAUUUUCAAGGAUUACUCAAGCUAAAAACAAAAAUCCUUACCUUUCCUUGCUUGAAUCACAAAACCGAGCUUUAUACCUCCAUUGACUCUCUAUGGCUUCUCUCUUGAGUAUUGAAGGUUCCUUGAGUGAAACAACAACAUAAAUCUACAAGAUGAGGGAGGAAAUCUCACGGUUCCUCUUGGUUUUUUGCAAAACGGAGCCUUUCCUUCCUUUCUUGCUUUUUCUUUAUUUCUUUCUCUCAUUUCCUUUCUGUUUUCUUCUUUCUUUCCUCUUGUUUCUCUUUUCUUCUUGGUUAUGGGUGGACUUCUCAAGGCCAAGCCUUGAAAAUGGCUUUCAUUUUCUCAUUUUUCUCUCCCAUGGGUGGAUUGCCCAAGGUCAUUCACCUUUUUCUCUUCUUUCCUUUUCUUGUCUCUUUAUUUUUCCUUCAUGGGUGGAUUGCCCAAAAAUUGCUCAUUUUAGCAUUUUUCCUUUUUCCUUUUAUGUGGCAAAAUUGCAAGUCAAAAGGCCUUUGAACCAUUCCACUUGUCGUUCACUUUUCAUUGUCCAUUCUUUCUUCAUUUCUUUUUCAUCUCUUAUUUACAUGCCAUGCCAUUCAAUUACCUUUCUUUGUUUUCUUUCUAUUAAAUAUUAUAUUUAUGCCUUUUCUUCUCAAAUCACAUCACCUUAUUUACUUGUUUACAUGGGCUAUCUUUGCCAAACCAUGGUUUUCUCUAAUUAAAUAUUUUUUGAUUCUUUUUCUCUUGUCAACUUUCACAUGGUGGGGUACCAUAUGUUUUGUCACGACUCGGUACUCCCCUCGAGCCCGUGACAACCUCCACGACGUCUCGGUAGACAUUCGUUACCCGAAAUGCCAACCGGAACCCCGCAAGGCUUUAGUACCUUUUUUUUUCAUCUCCCCUGUGAGUAAUCAUCGCCAAACCACGUUUUUAAAAAAUUUUAAGCUUUUUCCCUUUCAAAACCGUGAAAAAAUAAUUUUCGCCUCACAGGGGCGUUUUUGUCAUUUUUCCUUAAAAUUUUCUAAACCUGACUAAAAAUGUAGUAGAUGACUGAAAAACACAUAUUUCAUGAUUUAAAAUAGAUUUGGGCGUCUAAAACAUUUAUUAAAAAUGACAUUGCAACUAUUUAAAUAAAAUAAUAAUAUUUUAUAAAAUAUUCUAAUUGCUUGUAAAACAAUAUUUAUAGUCAUCGGUAAAUAUUUUUUGUAAUGUAAAAGCUAAAUAAAUUCAUACGUACUAUAAUACAAAUAACCGGGAUAUGAAAUUUACUUUACAGUGACUCGUGGGCCAACAAGGAACAAAAGUGCACAAAGGCAAUAAACCUACAAUUUUUGGAGUAGUAAAGCCGACUAUAAUCCUUGACGAUAUUUGCUAUCCAUAGGCUACCUCGGGCCUGAAAUGGUUAAAAAGGUGGGUGGUGAGAUUAUAAAAUCUCAGUGAGUAAACAGAUACCAUCUAAAUCAUCUAAAGUCGAGUAAGUGGAGAUAGAUAAAACAGUUUAACAUACUGAAAUUCAUCACCUUUCAACUUGUUUCAACCAAAUAAAAUCAAUUCAUAUAAAUCGAGUAAUUAACAUGGCUUAUGAAUUUCUUAAAACUUUGGCUCGUGCCAAAAAUCAUUUUUAUACCCAGUUAUCAAGGAUGCCUUGAUCGAGGGCUAUCCCAACCGAGUCCGCCAAGGCUAAUAAAAAGUCAUGUACGCAUAAAUCAUAUUUUUAUUUUGAAAACAUAGUCGUUCCUUGGCGUUGGCUGAGUUCUCCCCACGUGGUGGUUGGGUAUGAAGUGAACUCUAAAGUUUGACCUCAGGAGUUACCCUACGCGCCUCUACAAUCGAGGUGCAUAUAUAUGACCAGGUUCCAUGCCCUUAUAAUAGGUUGGUCUACAGAACCAGCCCACUGCAGCAAGCUAAACCCACUAUAUAAUAAAAAUUCAACAGCAUGAUAUGACAAUUUUUUAAUUAUCCAGCCUAUCAAGGCAAACAAUAGUUUAUACAUUUCAACACAAAUACCAAUUUAGCCAUUCAUGCCAAUAUUGUCCUAAGCCAAACAAUUAGAACCAUAUAUUCACAAUACAUCAAAUGGUCUCCAAUUACUCUAUUUUCAAAGCCAUUAUUCAAUUUCAAAACAAUUUUUUGAAAUCAUUUCAUUAAAUCACAUUUGGUUUAUAAAAUCGAAAAAUUAAUCAUUUAAUUCAUUUUCCAUGAAAUUCACAAAAUCAGAUAAAAACCACUUUAGAUAAUUAAGACGAUAGUAAGGUUACUCACAGUACUAGGAGUUCGAUAUACUUCUAUUCUCGAUCUUCAAGCACAAUCUCUUUACCCCUGUUAGAGGGCUCACCACCUAUACAUCGUAUGUGACACGAAUUUCAAUAAAUUGUGUCAAUUUAUCAUAAACUAUUUCAGGCUCUAUAAAUCUAUGUGAAUGCACGAAAUGUGAUGCAAAAUGUGUGAAUAGUCGUUUACAUACGGUAUUCGAUCUAAUUCGCACUAUUCUCGGUGUAAUUGGCUAAAACGUCCAAUUUAACUCCAAAUCUAUUUCUUUCACUUUCUACACUCCAAUUAUACUUAAAAUACCUCAAUGAAUGUGAAUAUGAUUCAAUUUAUCAGUUUGAACCAUAAAUCGCACAUGUCUAUACAUUAGGUAAAAAUUCAGAUUUUCAUGCCAAAAUUUCCCAUUAAAUUUUUAGCCUCACCAAUCAUUAAAUACCACCAAAAUAUUAUGAAAUAUCAUCAAUUUCAACCUCAAUAUCCUCCCUAGAAAAUUCGGCCUCUUGUGGGUUUGUGAAGAACAAAGUGAUUCCUAGCUAGAUUUUCAUACUUUCCAUUACCAAACAACCAAAAACACUUAAUUAGCUUGAAAUCUAGCAAAAUCAAUGCUCAAAACCUCUCCUCUCAAAUUCGGCCAGUAUGGGUUCAUCAUGCAAACUUGAGUUCUAAGCAUGGAAAAUGAAAAAGAAAGCAUGCGUAGUGUAAAUCACAAGAUAAAAUCACAGAAUCUUACCUUUAUUAGCUUAAUCCCUUGAAAUCCCACACUUUUUCUUCAAUUUUCCCACCUAGGGUUUGUGGUCUUUCCUUUCCUCUUCACUUCAUGCUUUGGCC
RNAcentral lists this long non-coding RNA (10803 nucleotides) under Theobroma cacao (cacao). Its description in RNAcentral is "long non-coding RNA (TCAC_LNC000364)". The record is from RNAcentral. Lineage: Eukaryota; Viridiplantae; Streptophyta; Magnoliopsida; Malvales; Malvaceae.